This 497-nucleotide ribosomal RNA is filed under the name uncultured bacterium. RNAcentral describes it as "partial 16S ribosomal RNA". It matches the Rfam family "Bacterial small subunit ribosomal RNA", at positions 28 to 507 of the family's 1533-position model. The record is from RNAcentral.
GAUGAACGCUGGCGGCGUGCCUAAUACAUGCAAGUCGAGCGAGCAGACGAGGAGCUUGCUCCCCUGACGUUAGCGGCGGACGGGUGAGUAACACGUGGAUAACCUACCUAUAAGACUGGGAUAACUUCGGGAAACCGGAGCUAAUACCGGAUAAUAUAUUGAACCGCAUGGUUCAAUAGUGAAAGACGGUUUUGCUGUCACUUAUAGAUGGAUCCGCGCCGCAUUAGCUAGUUGGUAAGGUAACGGCUUACCAAGGCAACGAUGCGUAGCCGACCUGGGAGGGUGAUCGGCCACACUGGAACUGAGACACGGUCCAGACUCCUACGGGAGGCAGCAGUAGGGAAUCUUCCGCAAUGGGCGAAAGCCUGACGGAGCAACGCCGCGUGAGUGAUGAAGGUCUUCGGAUCGUAAAACUCUGUUAUUAGGGAAGAACAAAUGUGUAAGUAACUAUGCACGUCUUGACGGUACCUAAUCAGAAAGCCACGGCUAACUACGUG